RNAcentral lists this long non-coding RNA (1748 nucleotides) under Anneissia japonica. RNAcentral describes it as "uncharacterized LOC117122065". The record is from RNAcentral. Lineage: Eukaryota; Metazoa; Echinodermata; Crinoidea; Comatulida; Comatulidae.
AAACAUUUCAUGCUAUGCAGAGAAUGGAGAGGUUAACGCAACAGAACUACUGAAGACAUGUAACACAGAGAAUGGAGAGGUUAACGCAAUAGAACCACUGAAGACAUGUAACACAGUUCCAUCUAGUUCCAUAACCCUGACCAUUGGAAUGUUUUUUGUGGGCGUCUUUGUUGGUUGCUUCGGGUUAGUUGCUGGCUUGAUCGGCUACAAUAGGAUUAAACAGAAAUUUGAAGCCAUGCGAAGUACUGACACCAGAACGCAAAAUACUUACAUGCCAUACAUAGCAGAUACUGGCGAUGAGAACCAUACUUAUUAAGAUCUGCAGGAAGCAAAUGCAGAAACAGGUUACGUUAAUGCCAAGGUGGAAAUGUAUAAAAAGUGAACCCUUUGUCGAAAAGAGCUUGUUUGUUUUGAUACAGGAGUAUAACUUUAAUCUCUACAAACUGUAACGAUUUUUGCUAUGGUAACGUACCUCCAUGAUGUUUGAUUAUACAAAAUAUAUGAUUGAAAUAAUUCAACUGUGUAGCUCAUUAGUUUUAAGAAAUAUUAAUACUAGCAAAAGCAAAACAGAAUAAAUUGACAAGUGUACAUGUAUUACAAAUAUACUUGACAAUUGUAUUUUAAGUUUUUAAAGAUUUUAAUUAAAGGAUAUGGUUUUCGCGCUGUGCUUUUAGACUGCUACCAAAAAGAGUAAACAAUGAUUAAGAAACUGUAUGCAGCGGAAGCUUUUACUACGAAGGAAUAAGAAUUCCGAACUAAGCAAUGCGCAUGCGCAAUUACAAGAGAAAGUCUCCGAAUUAUCUCUAAAAUCAAAAUGAGCAUGCGCUGGGAAAUGCUAGACAGACAGUAAGUAAGUGAAGUUGUCGAGCAGUUACCAAAACGAGUUGUCAGAAACCAAAUGGUGUCUGCGAAGAGGGUGUGAAAUAGAAAUGAGAAAAAACUUUUUAAUGCAACAACUGAGCAUGCGCAACUCAAGCUAAAGCGAUCACGCAGACUUUGAAAAUAAUGAAAAUUCCGGUCGAAAAGCCUUGGCUAUCAAAGGCCUACAGAUGCGUAAUAAUAUAAUCGUCCAGGAAAAUUGUAAUUAAAUUAUCGCAAACAACAGUUUAAUGGGCUCUAUCGUCGUACGUAAGUAUGCAUUGACAAUCCGAUAAAAAAUAACCACAUAAAUUGAAGACACAACCUAGGCUAGGCCUCUUUAGGAUAGCCUUAGCUAGGGCCUACUAAAAAUAGCCACACAGAAACUGACAGCAGUAGGGCCUAAGCAUAUAUAGCUAGUGAAAAGGGUGGGGGGAGGUUAGCAAGUCUAUAGUUGAAGCAUAAAAAUCGGCGAUGAUGGAAUUUAUUUAUAAUAACUCCUCCAACCCAGCCAGCAGAAUAAUAAACAUAGUAAAACAUAUUUUUAAAAUUUAAAUAAAAUAUUAUUAUUAUUAUUAAAUUAUUAUUAUUACAUAUUAAUAAUAGUAGUAGUAGUAAUAAUAAUAAUAAUAAUAAUAAUAAUAAUAAAAAUAAUAAAUAUUAAUAACAGCAAUAAUGGUAAGAACACAAGUUAAAGUAAUUCUAUAUGUUAGGCCUACACCAAAUUAUAUAGGCCUAUUACACUGGUUUAUAAACCUUAUACUAUCUACAUUUUUAAUGUAGAAUACUGUUUAGUAUGCCGUUUUAUUAUUUUAAUCAAUGCCGCAGUGUAAAUAAUUGUUACACCAUGUGUUAUACUAUAAAAAAAAUUCAGUGAAGAUGGUAGGUCA